CAGUCGCCACGGUAAUACGUAGGUGGCAAGCGUUGUCCGGAAUUAUUGGGCGUAAAGGGCUCGCAGGCGGUUUCUUAAGUCUGAUGUGAAAGCCCCCGGCUCAACCGGGGAGGGUCAUUGGAAACUGGGAAACUUGAGUGCAGAAGAGGAGAGUGGAAUUCCACGUGUAGCGGUGAAAUGCGUAGAGAUGUGGAGGAACACCAGUGGCGAAGGCGACUCCCUGGUCUGUAACUGACGCUGAGGAGCGAAAGCGUGGGGAGCGAACAGGAUUAGAUACCCCUGUAGUCCCUGUCUCUUAUAC
This 301-nucleotide ribosomal RNA is filed under the name uncultured bacterium. Its description in RNAcentral is "partial 16S ribosomal RNA". It matches the Rfam family "Bacterial small subunit ribosomal RNA", at positions 509 to 807 of the family's 1533-position model. The record is from RNAcentral.